RNAcentral lists this ribosomal RNA (422 nucleotides) under uncultured bacterium. RNAcentral describes it as "bacterial SSU rRNA". It matches the Rfam family "Bacterial small subunit ribosomal RNA", at positions 362 to 775 of the family's 1533-position model. The record is from RNAcentral.
UCUUCCGCAAUGGACGAAAGUCUGACGGAGCAACGCCGCGUGAGUGAUGAAGGUCUUCGGAGCGUAAAGCCCCGUUGUUAGGGAAGAACAAGUACCGUUCGAAUAGGGCGGUACCUUGACGGUACUUAACCAGAAAGCCACGGCUAACUACGUGCCAGCAGCCGCGGUAAUACGUAGGUGGCAAGCGUUGUCCGGAAUUAUUGGGCGUAAAGGGCUCGCAGGCGGUUUCUUAAGUCUGAUGUGAAAGCCCCCGGCUCAACCGGGGAGGGUCAUUGGAAACUGGGGAACUUGAGUGCAGAAGAGGAGAGUGGAAUUCCACGUGUAGCGGUGAAAUGAGUAGAGAUGUGGAGGAACACCAGUGGCGAAGGCGACUCUCUGGUCUGUAACUGACGCUGGGGAGCGAAAGCGUGGGGAGCGAACAG